CAGCCGCCGCGGUAAUACGUAGGGUGCAAGCGUUAAUCGGAAUUACUGGGCGUAAAGCGCACGUAGGCGGCUUGGUAAGUUAGAGGUGAAAGCCUGGAGCUCAACUCCAGAAUUGCCUUUAAGACUGCCGAGCUAGCAGGUGAGAGAGGUAAGUGGAAUUCCGAGUGUAGAGGUGAAAUUCGUAGAUAUUCGGAAGAACACCAGUGGCGAAGGCGGCUUACUGGCUCAUACUGGACGCUGAGGUGCGAAAGCGUGGGGAGCAAACAGGAUUAGAGACCCCAGUAGUCCCUGUCUCUUAUAC
Molecule: ribosomal RNA, 301 nt
Filed under: uncultured bacterium
Lineage: Bacteria
Description: partial 16S ribosomal RNA
Rfam family: Bacterial small subunit ribosomal RNA
Source: RNAcentral